UACGUAGGGGGCAAGCGUUGUUCGGAAUUACUGGGCGUAAAGGGCGCGUAGGCGGCACGGCAAGUCGGGAGUGAAAGCCCGGGGCUCAACCCCGGAGGGUCUCUCGAAACUGCCGAGCUAGAGUGCGGAAGAGGCAAUCGGAAUUCCCAGUGUAGCGGUGAAAUGCGUAGAUAUUGGGAAGAACACCGGAGGCGAAGGCGGAUUGCUGGGCCGACACUGACGCUGAGGCGCGAAAGCUAGGGGAGCGAACAGG
This 253-nucleotide ribosomal RNA is filed under the name uncultured bacterium. RNAcentral describes it as "partial 16S ribosomal RNA". It matches the Rfam family "Bacterial small subunit ribosomal RNA", at positions 524 to 776 of the family's 1533-position model. The record is from RNAcentral.